RNAcentral lists this long non-coding RNA (576 nucleotides) under Carassius auratus (goldfish). Its description in RNAcentral is "lncRNA (ENSCARG00000024261.1)". Lineage: Eukaryota; Metazoa; Chordata; Actinopteri; Cypriniformes; Cyprinidae. The record is from RNAcentral.
ACAUCCAGGCUCCAUCUAUAGCAUUUGCCAAUAACUUCUGGCCUUAUUGUGCCCUCUGCUGUUUGCAAUUUAAACUUUCUUUGUUAAUGUUUCCACAGCAGUCAUGAACUGGCAUUUCUUAGCAACUGGAUUUUGAAAAGGCAAAACUGAUUAGUACAAAUAUCAUUUUUGAUUACAGAUUGAAGAGAAUACAUAUGGAAGAUUCAUGUAGUAUGACAAAAUGUAAUCCAAAAUCUGUUUUGAAAGCAUUUAAGGCUAUUGCUGGAGUUAUUGAAGGAGGGAAUUAUAGCAUCUGACAGACCAAAUGCAGAUAUACAGAUAUUCCUGUCUGGACAUGAUUCAGGAUUCCAAGUAAACUGAACAAAAAUGGCCUGAGGGUGUGGUUUCAGACAUAGAGGCACAGAGGGUUUGGAUGGGAAUAGCCCAAAGUCGGUGAGGACACGUUCAAUCUGCACACUGUUGGAAUUGGAGGCCGUGGAGAAGCAGAUCCGCAAUCUACUGGAGAAGCAGGCCCAGCUGCGAGAGCAGAGAACAUCACUUGAGACAUCCUGCGCUGAUGCAAGAUGUGAAUACUCC